GUGCAUGCAAAUCACCCAGUUACAGAAGCAAAUAGCAGUCCAGAGAGAAGAAGAGCCGGUUGGGGAAGAAAACAGAGAAGUGUGCCCUUGGCUGAGGACAAGAAUCUGCAUGAUGUUUUCUUUGACCUUGAGAAUGCCUUUUGCUUGCCCUGCAGAGCAGGAGAGGAGCUGGAACUUUCCCGUUUGGCUCUGUCAGCCAAGUGCAGCUUUCAAGUUCUCUAGGGACUGCUGUAUUUUCUCAUGAGUGAGUCAAAUGCUCAAUCUGAGGCCUGGGAGACAGGGUGGAGGAGGGGAGUGGGGAAGGGGACACCAGCAUCUACCUUCGGUUGGGAGAAUUAGGCUGAAGCCUGCCUGGGCUACUGGUAUGUGUCCUUAGGCCACCAACACCAUUAUCAUCUCAAUAAACAGCAUAUGCAGUGUGCUGGGUUGAUAGCGUUUCUCUCAGGUUCCGACUUCAGAUCUCCGGCUCCUCUUUCACUGGACGGAUUCCAAAUACUACAACUCCCUGUGUGACAGCUGGAGAAUCACUGCACCUUUCUGGGCCCCAUUGAGUGACAGAAGAUCGGAAUGGAUAGUCACAUGCCUGCCCCAGCGUGGAAGGAGAAGAGCCUAUACUUCCAUCCAUUCUGGCCUCUUCCAAGUUCCCCUCAUUUUUCUCUCUAAGAUCAAAUAAAUAAACAUGUUGUUAUUCUUUUUAUACAUUUAAUAUAUGCUCAUGAAAGAAAAGUAGCAAGGGCCAGGUGUGGUGGCG
RNAcentral lists this long non-coding RNA (751 nucleotides) under Homo sapiens (human). Its description in RNAcentral is "HSALNT0378070". Lineage: Eukaryota; Metazoa; Chordata; Mammalia; Primates; Hominidae. The record is from RNAcentral.